UACGUAGGGUGCGAGCGUUGCCCGGAUUUAUUGGGCGUAAAGGGCGCGUAGGCGGCUCUGCACGUCCGUUGUGAAAUCGCCCGGCUCAACUGGGCGGGGUCAGCGGAUACGGCGGAGCUUGAGCAAGCUAGGGGGCAAUGGAAUUCCCGGUGUAGUGGUGGAAUGCGUAGAUAUCGGGAGGAACACCUGUGGCGAAAGCGGCUCACUGGACCAUAACUGACGCUGAUGCACGAAAGCUGGGGGAGCAAACAGG
This 253-nucleotide ribosomal RNA is filed under the name uncultured bacterium. RNAcentral describes it as "partial 16S ribosomal RNA". It matches the Rfam family "Bacterial small subunit ribosomal RNA", at positions 524 to 776 of the family's 1533-position model. The record is from RNAcentral.